GAUCAUGGCUCAGGAUGAACGCUAGCUACAGGCUUAACACAUGCAAGUCGAGGGGAAACGAUAGAGAAAGCUUGCUUUUUCUAGGCGUCGACCGGCGCACGGGUGAGUAACGCGUAUCCAACCUGCCCAUCACUUGGGGAUAACCUUGCGAAAGUAAGACUAAUACCCAAUGACGUCUCUAGAAGACAUCUGAAGGAGAUUAAAGAUUUAUCGGUGAUGGAUGGGGAUGCGUCUGAUUAGCUUGUUGGCGGGGUAACGGCCCACCAAGGCGACGAUCAGUAGGGGUUCUGAGAGGAAGGCCCCCCACAUUGGAACUGAGACACGGUCCAAACUCCUACGGGAGGCAGCAGUGAGGAAUAUUGGUCAAUGGACGAGAGUCUGAACCAGCCAAGUAGCGUGCAGGAUGACGGCCCUAUGGGUUGUAAACUGCUUUUAUAAGGGAAUAAAGUGGGAGUCGUGACUCUUUUUGCAUGUACCUUAUGAAUAAGGACCGGCUAAUUCCGUG
RNAcentral lists this ribosomal RNA (505 nucleotides) under uncultured bacterium. RNAcentral's name for it is "bacterial SSU rRNA". It matches the Rfam family "Bacterial small subunit ribosomal RNA", at positions 15 to 507 of the family's 1533-position model. The record is from RNAcentral.